Molecule: long non-coding RNA, 274 nt
Organism: Capsicum annuum
Lineage: Eukaryota; Viridiplantae; Streptophyta; Magnoliopsida; Solanales; Solanaceae
Exons: 3
Source: RefSeq, a predicted model, not a curated record
GUAACCUUUAACGGAGAAGAGUAUUCUCUACUCUUCUUCUCAAAUUGCCGUCUCUUAUGGAAAAUGUUUCCCUUGUUCAGGUGGUUGUGAUUUUACCUCUUUAAACUUGAUGGCUCUGCUGCCGUGGAUGAUUUGUUCCCCUAUUCCAAUGUAUACCAAGCUUCUUCUUAUAGCAUACGAUCUUAACCAAGGCGGCUAUAUCCCCACGCGAUGCAGGAACCGACUGUUCUACUUCUCCUACUUAGUGCUCGGACUCAUGAUCAUCUCGGUUGUA